UUGUCCCUGCGCUGCUCGUGAUGCCGGGGGGAAGUUUCAACCUCGUUUCCAAUUCGGGAGCUGUGGACGAGGGUCGUGUGCAAGCCCCUCUUGAAGGGGAAGCCUAAAGCCCUCUAAUUAACGGCGCCCACCUGGUACAUACCAGGUUCGAAACACCGUCGGCACACGGCAGAGGCGGGGAUUUG
This 185-nucleotide non-coding RNA is filed under the name Candidatus Rokuibacteriota bacterium. RNAcentral's name for it is "Candidatus Rokubacteria bacterium 6S RNA". It matches the Rfam family "6S / SsrS RNA". From Rfam's summary of the family: E. coli 6S RNA was the first non coding RNA to be sequenced, but its function was unknown until recently. The record is from RNAcentral. Lineage: Bacteria; Candidatus Rokuibacteriota.